GCUGGCGGCAGGCCUAACACAUCCAAGUCGAGCGGAUGAGAAGAGCUUGCUUUCGAUUCAGCGGCGGACGGGUGAGUAAUGCCUAGGAAUCUGCCUGGUAGUGGGGGACAACGUUUCGAAAGGAACGCUAAUACCGCAUACGUCCUACGGGAGAAAGCAGGGGACCUUCGGGCCUUGCGCUAUCAGAUGAGCCUAGGUCGGAUUAGCUAGUUGGUGAGGUAAUGGCUCACCAAGGCUACGAUCCGUAACUGGUCUGAGAGGAUGAUCAGUCACACUGGAACUGAGACACGGUCCAGACUCCUACGGGAGGCAGCAGUGGGGAAUAUUGGACAAUGGGCGAAAGCCUGAUCCAGCCAUGCCGCGUGUGUGAAGAAGGUCUUCGGAUUGUAAAGCACUUUAAGUUGGGAGGAAGGGCAGUAAGUAA
Molecule: ribosomal RNA, 424 nt
Filed under: Pseudomonas putida
Lineage: Bacteria; Pseudomonadati; Pseudomonadota; Gammaproteobacteria; Pseudomonadales; Pseudomonadaceae
Description: bacterial SSU rRNA
Rfam family: Bacterial small subunit ribosomal RNA
Source: RNAcentral